UAUCUCUCUUGGUCAUAAUGAGAACUAAAGAUGUAAUCUCAAGUUCAGGCAAAUGGCAUAUCAGAGACGAUGAUCUGGAAGGAAGGUGUAGAUGGAAAAUAUGCCAGAAACAAUCAAGGCAUGGGAUAGGAUUAAAGAGCAAGUGAAGAAAUAUAUAAGCCUACCCAUUCUGAACUGAACUUGGCACAUGACAAUUUUUUUUAUCAGAGAAAAGAUUCUCCUUUAUCAAAGGUCUGUGGUAGUAUUUUGAAUGUAACUGACUUACUGCGGAGUUCAUAAUAUUUGGAUAACUUCUGAAUGCUUAUUUUAUCAACUAAAUAGGAGGUUGC
Molecule: long non-coding RNA, 329 nt
Organism: Lolium rigidum
Lineage: Eukaryota; Viridiplantae; Streptophyta; Magnoliopsida; Poales; Poaceae
Exons: 3
Source: RefSeq, a predicted model, not a curated record